GAUGAACGCUGGCGGCGUGCCUAAUACAUGCAAGUCGAGCGAACAGACGAGGAGCUUGCUCCCCUGACGUUAGCGGCGGACGGGUGAGUAACACGUGGAUAACCUACCUAUAAGACUGGGAUAACUUCGGGAAACCGGAGCUAAUACCGGAUAAUAUAUUGAACCGCAUGGUUCAAUAGUGAAAGACGGUUUUGCUGUCACUUAUAGAUGGAUCCGCGCCGCAUUAGCUAGUUGGUAAGGUAACGGCUUACCAAGGCGACGAUGCGUAGCCGACCUCAGAGGGUGAUCGGCCACACUGGAACUGAGACACGGUCCAGACUCCUACGGGAGGCAGCAGUAGGGAAUCUUCCGCAGUGGGCGAAAGCCUGACGGAGCAACGCCGCGUGAGUGAUGAAGGUCUUCGGAUCGUAAAACUCUGUUAUUAGGGAAGAACAAAUGUGUAAGUAACUAUGCACGUCUUGACGGUACCUAAUCAGAAAGCCACGGCUAACUACGUG
This 497-nucleotide ribosomal RNA is filed under the name uncultured bacterium. Its description in RNAcentral is "partial 16S ribosomal RNA". It matches the Rfam family "Bacterial small subunit ribosomal RNA", at positions 28 to 507 of the family's 1533-position model. The record is from RNAcentral.